Molecule: ribosomal RNA, 450 nt
Filed under: uncultured bacterium
Lineage: Bacteria
Description: bacterial SSU rRNA
Rfam family: Bacterial small subunit ribosomal RNA
Source: RNAcentral
GCCCAGACUCCUACGGGAGGCAGCAGUGGGGAAUAUUGCACAAUGGGGGAAACCCUGAUGCAGCAACGCCGCGUGAGUGAAGAAGUAUUUCGGUAUGUAAAGCUCUAUCAGCAGGGAAGAAGAGAGACGGUACCUGACUAAGAAGCCCCGGCUAACUACGUGCCAGCAGCCGCGGUAAUACGUAGGGGGCGAGCGUUAUCCGGAUUUACUGGGUGUAAAGGGAGCGUAGACGGCAGCGCAAGCCAGAUGUGAAAGCCCGGGGCUCAACUCCGGGACUGCAUUUGGAACUGUGUGGCUGGAGUGUCGGAGAGGCAGGCGGAAUUCCUAGUGUAGCGGUGAAAUGCGUAGAUAUUAGGAGGAACACCAGUGGCGAAGGCGGCCUGCUGGACGAUGACUGACGUUGAGGCUCGAAAGCGUGGGGAGCAAACAGGAUUAGAUACCCUAGUAGUC